AAGCCUGAUCCAGCCAUGCCGCGUGUGUGAAGAAGGCCUUCGGGUUCUAAAGCACUUUCAGCGAGGAAGAACGCCUUGGGAUUAAUACUCUCGAGGAAAGACAUCACUCGCAGAAGAAGCACCGGCUAACUCCGUGCCAGCAGCCGCGGUAAUACGGAGGGUGCAAGCGUUAAUCGGAAUUACUGGGCGUAAAGCGCGCGUAGGUGGCUAAGUCAGCCAGGUGUGAAAGCCCCGGGCUCAACCUGGGAACGGCAUCUGGAACUGCUUGGCUAGAGUGCAGGAGAGGAAGGUAGAAUUCCCGGUGUAGCGGUGAAAUGCGUAGAGAUCGGGAGGAAUACCAGUGGCGAAGGCGGCCUUCUGGACUGACACUGACACUGAGGUGCGAAAGCGUGGGUAGCAAACAGGAUUAGAUACCCUGGUAGUCCACGCCGUAAACGAUGUCAACUAGCCGUUGGGUCCCUUGAGGACUUAGUGGCGCAGCUAACGCAAUAAGUUGACCGCCUGGGGAGUACGGCCGCAAGGUUAAAACUCA
RNAcentral lists this ribosomal RNA (532 nucleotides) under Cobetia amphilecti. RNAcentral describes it as "bacterial SSU rRNA". It matches the Rfam family "Bacterial small subunit ribosomal RNA", at positions 379 to 903 of the family's 1533-position model. Lineage: Bacteria; Pseudomonadati; Pseudomonadota; Gammaproteobacteria; Oceanospirillales; Halomonadaceae. The record is from RNAcentral.